RNAcentral lists this ribosomal RNA (486 nucleotides) under uncultured bacterium. RNAcentral's name for it is "bacterial SSU rRNA". It matches the Rfam family "Bacterial small subunit ribosomal RNA", at positions 29 to 528 of the family's 1533-position model. The record is from RNAcentral.
AGUGAACGCUGGCGGCAGGCCUAAUACAUGCAAGUCGAACGGCAGCACAGCAGAGCUUGCUCUGUGGGUGGCGAGUGGCGGACGGGUGAGGAAUACAUGGGAAUCUGCCCAGUCGUGGGGGAUAACGUAUGGAAACGUACGCUAAUACCGCAUGCGCCCUAAGGGGGAAAGCCGGGGACCGCAAGGCCUGGCGCGAUUGGAUGAGCCCAUGUUCGAUUAGCUAGUUGGCGGGGUAAAGGCCCACCAAGGCGACGAUCGAUGGCUGGUCUGAGAGGAUGAUCAGCCACACUGGAACUGAGACACGGUCCAGACUCCUACGGGAGGCAGCAGUAGGGAAUAUUGGACAAUGGGGGCAACCCUGAUCCAGCCAUGCCGCGUGAGUGAAGAAGGCCCUCGGGUUGUAAAGCUCUUUUGUGCGGGAAGAUAAUGACGGUACCGCAAGAAUAAGCCCCGGCUAACUUCGUGCCAGCAGCCGCGGUAAAGCGU